Long non-coding RNA from Poeciliopsis prolifica (blackstripe livebearer), 2166 nucleotides. RefSeq lists it as uncharacterized. Lineage: Eukaryota; Metazoa; Chordata; Actinopteri; Cyprinodontiformes; Poeciliidae. The record is from RefSeq and is a predicted model, not a curated record. The transcript has 3 exons.
UGGAAAAUGAAUCAGCAGAAUUAGUCCUGGACCUGGUCCCAUUAUUUUAUAUUUUUGUUUGUCUGGUUACAUAUAUAUUUUUUAAAUAUUUAGUCAGGUGUUUGGGUCAAUUUUUCAGCACUACCUGCUUGUGUGAAAAUAUGUAGCAGUAGUGUUGCUUUUUCCUGAAUAAAAUCUUUGCUUCCUGGAUUUACAGGACGUUACUUGGGUCUGCGCAGGCAGAGAAACAAGUUAGCGCGUAAAGAAAGAACAUCGGUUUGCGGUGGCCCGAAUCGGUACCAAAGCGAUUCAAAUCGGGAAACGGGUUGCGAGGUCUGGUCGUCUACGUGUUCGGGUGUGUUUUGUGACACUUUGACCAGGUCGCUGUGCCGUUAUGUCGGAAGAGGGAACAGCCGAGGCGCGGCUAGCUAACGCUAGGGCUAACGCCGACCCCCAGCUGAGGUCCGGGCCUGUAAUGAGCGCAUCUUCUGGAACAUUCAUCAGCUCUAGAUGAAGGCAGACACUGUUGAGAUGUGCCCUUUGCCCUCAUUACCGGGCUGUGUGUGGGUGUUGACCAGUCAUUGUCUCACCUUCAUGGUGAGCAGUCUCUGGGCGAAGUAGACCUCUGGGUUCUGGAUGCACUGAACUGUUCCAACACAAACACAGAACCAUGAGGAGCCAACCAAUCAGCAAACCUCUCACCUGGGACUCACCUAAAACUCUCAGGCCGAGCCGGAAGUCUCCAGAGAAGUGUUUCUCCACCAGCUGAUCCACAGCCUGCCCCGUCUCCAGCUCCAGCUCCAUCAGCACUGCCAGACGUUCACAGUGAGCAUCUCAGCGCCACCUGCAGGCCGCAGCUGGUCACUUACUCACCUUUAUCCAGGUGAUCCGAGUCUCUGGACGUCAGGAUGUUGAUCCAGGGUCCGGCUUCUGCUUUCUUCCCACUGAGAGAUGCAGCGAGAGCCUGGGAACAUAGGGGAGCAGAGCUGGAGCUCAGGGAGAUGGAGUGGAAAUGAUCCGGACUGCAUGAGGAGCAAAAAAUACCUGAACGUCUCUCUGGACAGAGCCCACAGUAACGGCUUUCUGUUGGGACAAAAUGGAGGACAAAACGACACGCUUCAUCCUCCUGCUGGGACUAAAACAGUUUUAUGCACAUUAUUCAGAUUAAUUCCAACUAAAGAUGGGCUGUAGAUGUCUUUGCACAAAAAUCCAGAAAACAAUUUGCUCUAAAUUAACCAGAAGAUUUUUUUGUGCCUCAGCCUCCGUCCUGCCCCAAGCCAAAAUGUUAAACCUUAAAGCGUGUCAUCCAGCAGAGGGCGCCGCUGAUCCAUGUGUUCAAUACAGCUGACACAAAAUAAUGUUAAAAUAAUAUAUAUAUUUUUUUAAUUCAGCAAAUUCUGAAAACUUUAGUCCUUUUUGGGAAGACGGUCGUCCCUUUGAAAACACUGGAUCAGAAGAAAAUGGCCGCUUUACAUCAAUGUACUAAUUGAUGAUAUUGAGCAGGUUUCCUACAUUCAGCAGAGCCACAACCAGCCGGGCGAAGUCUCCACUGGUUUCUGCUUUCAGCUCCUUCUCCAGAUCCUUCUUAUACACUGAAAUCAGAGAACCAGCAUCAGAACCGAACCGGGCCUGAUUAUAGCAGCAAGACCCAGAGACUCACUCUGACUGUAGACGGCAGCCACUUCCUGCAGCGUCUUCCUGGAGCGGGAACACAGGAUCUCCAGCAGCGUUUCCUCAUCGGUGCCCAGACCCUGCAGACACACGGACCGGAUGAGAACCGCACGAGAACCCCGACGGUGCGGGUGAACUCCCGACCGGACCCGGAGGCUCACCGCCAUGGCCGCCUUCAGCCGCUGGGCCUCCAGCUGCUCCGGCGUCAUCACCAGCUGCAGCAGCAGCUCCUCCAGGUCUCCGGACAGAACCUUCUUCAGAGCAGCGCUCAGAUCCUGCAGCAACACAGAAACACCUGAAGGCCCUCAGCAGCUCCCUGGGUCUCCAGAACCAGAACCGGCCCCGGGUUCUGGCUCACUAAAGGGUCAGAAGGUCAUUCUCUAGAGAAGAAGGACUCGGCGUGUUUCUCAGCCUGCUGUCCGGUUAAAGCUGAGGUCUUCUGUCCUCAGCUUUAACGCUGCAGGCAGGAGCUCAGACAUCAGGACGGGUGUGAUGAGAGGAGGCCACAGAACAGGA